This 373-nucleotide unclassified non-coding RNA is filed under the name soil metagenome. RNAcentral's name for it is "partial contains 5.8S ribosomal RNA, internal transcribed spacer 2, and large subunit ribosomal RNA". The stretch from base 1 to 121 matches the Rfam family "5.8S ribosomal RNA", at positions 35 to 154 of the family's 154-position model. The record is from RNAcentral.
GAUGAAGAACGUAGCGAAAUGCGAUAAGUAAUGCGAAUUGCAGAAUUCCAGUGAGUCAUCGAAUCUUUGAACGCACAUUGCGCCCUUUGGUAUUCCGAAGGGCAUGCCUGUUCGAGCGUCAUUAUCACCCCUCAAGCCCUCGGCUUGGUGUUGGACGGUUUGGUGGAGGCCCCCUCGGGGGCUCCUGCCCCUCCCAAAGACAAUGACGGCGGCCUCGUUGGACCCCCGGUACACUGAGUUCUUCACGGGACACGUAUCGGACACAUGGGUUUACGGGACACGGUCUGCCUCCCCACAGGGAGAAUCUUUCUAAGGUUGACCUCGGAUCAGGUAGGGAUACCCGCUGAACUUAAGCAUAUCAAUAAGCGGAGGA